GGCAAUAAUCCAGUCAGCUGCGGAGUCUUCCAACAAACAAGUGAUUCUUGGCUGAAGCUUGUCGAAGGCAAUUUUAAGGUAGCGGACCAUAUCGAAUGGUACAUCAAUGGUGGCUUCUGCAUCUUCAGGUAGACUAUCAACUUUUGGCAAUUGAAUCUUGACAAAUUCUAUUAGAUGGGUUAAAUUCGAAGGCAGUUUGGGAAGGCGAUCAAUGUUUCUGGGGGUCGAAACAAAGGAGACACUGUGGCCUUUCUGGGCUAUGAGCUUGGCGAGCUCUAGGUAUGGAAUCAAGUGACCGAAGGCCAGCCAUGGGAACAUGAGAAUAUGCAAUUUACCCUGCUCAGCCAUGGACUACAGAUUUAGAGGUGCAGUGCACAAGAUUCUUGAUUAUACUAUGAAGGUUUGUGAUUGAGAUAUUUAUGUUGAUUAGAUCAGUACAAUUUCAACAUGCUUUUCAUACCGCAACUAUCCCCACAGGAACGCCAGCAAAUGAGUGAUAUUUUCCACUGGUACACACCAAACAUAUCCACAUCUAUAUUAAGACCCUGUUUGAAGGAUUAAAGUCUAAAUUUUAUCCUAAAUCAAAAUCAACAAGUUAUUUUAAUCCCGUACUUUAUGGAAUUCACAACAUUUCAAUAACAUAUUUUAUUAAUUUUUAUCAAUCAAAAUUUACUAAAAAUCUGAUUUUAAUACGUUAUUUUUUAAUGUUUUAAAGCUAUAUUAAUUCAAAAUAAUCAACUCUUAUAAAUAACGUAACACAAUCUUAUGUAUUUUUUACGUCUUUCUUUAUGUUUGAUUGUUAAAAUCACGGAAAGAGAAAGAUAGCGAGUUCACAAUAAUUAUGAGAGGUAUAAUCGAGCUUCAAUUCGAUUUUUCGAGAACGAUAGAUACAACACUGCAGUAAAAUAACAGAUUCGGGUAAAACUUAUCAAUUUGAUUAAGUUGAACUUGAAAUGAAAAAUAAAAAUAGGAAAAAUCAUACUUUUUGGCUUUAAGCUAAAUUAAUUAGUUAGUAAAUUUAUUUAGAAAAAAUAAAAUAAUUUAAUUUAUUUAAAACAAAUAAAUUUAAAAAACAAGUAAUUGGCAAAAAACGUCCCUACCUUUCAAGUGUAUUGUGAAAAACAUCCAUACAUUUCAUUUUUUGGUACAAAACGUCCCUACCUUCCACUUUCUUGGCGCUGAACGUCAUUUUCAUCAAUUUUUGACGAUUUUAUCCUUCAGUCAAAUACAACAAAAAGAAAAGAAAGGAAAAAAAACAAAAAAACUAAUUGCAACCACAUUCCCAAAAUUUUUAAAAAUUGCAAAUGGUAACUUGAUAAUUACCAUAUUAAAUAAAUUGAAAAAAAAAAAUCAAAAAAUUAAGAAAAAAAAUUAAAAAAUGGGUUGUUUUCUUCACGACAACCCACCCCACCAUACAAAAUCUCUUUGCACAGCAAAUCCUCCAAAUCCGAAGCCCCAUUACAUCUCUCUGUACAAUGGGGUUUGAUACUGUAUAUGAAAAUGAAGGAGCUUGUACAAAGAGGUAGAUCGUAACUGAUAGCUUACUUUGAGAUUUUGUCAAAUGGAUCUUUGAGAUUUUUGGUUUUAGAAGCGGUUUUUAGAGUAAAGUAAACGGUGACGCGGGGGUUGUUAAUAGCUUACUUUUUGCUAUUUAUCUUCUAUUAUUGUUAUUUUUCAGUUUUGAUGAUUUCUGUGGGUAGUAUAGAUGGGGGAAAUUUGUCAGGUUUAGGGUUAGAAAUGGAAGAAAAUGAACUUGAAGAAGGAGAGGCUGACUGUUUUCAGAAUGAUGGUGACGAUUCCACCAUUGACCCUGAUAUUGCACUCUCUUACAUUGUAAGUUCAUUUUAUUUUUUAAUCUUUCUUUGUAAUUCAGUUUUUCAGUUUUCUAAAGCUGCAUGUAGUUUGAUUUAUAAAUUAUAUCCUGUUCAGUUGUGCAGAGAGAUGUAAUAGGGCUUCGAAUUUGGAGGAUUUGCUGUGUAGAGAGAUUUUGUAUGGUGGGGUGGGGUGGGGUGAGAGAAGAAGAAGAUGAAUAAUAGGGUGUGGUGUGGUGUGGUGAAGAAGACAACCCAUUUUUUUAAUUUUUUUCUUAAUUUUUUGAUUUUUUUUCAAUUUAUUUAAUAUGGUACUUAUUAAGUUACCAUUUGCAAUUUUUAGAAAUUUUGGGAAUGUGGUUGCAAUUAGAUUUUUGUUUUUUUCUUUCUUUUUUUUUAUUUAUUUGAAUGAAGGGUAAAAUCGUCAAAAAUUGAUGAAAAGAACGUUCAGCGCCAAAAAAGUGGAAGGUAGGGACGUUUUGUGCCAAAAAAUGAAAGGUAAGGAUGUUUUCCACAAUACAAUUGAAAGGUAGGGACAUUUUGUGCCAAUUACCCAUUUAAAAAAAUUAGAAAGAAUCAGUUCUUAUUGGAUUUUUCGGUUCUUGAUCUAGAACCAAGAACCGAUCCAAAUCUGUAGAUUCUCAAUUUAAAUACCCGUUUGAGUAUUUACCUUAAGAAGAACCGCUCAGUUCGUAGUCGAGAGUUUUGUCCAAUCCUAAUUCACAAAUAACAUUCAUGACAACUGACAGUAAAGUAAAAAUUAUGAACAGUGCUAUAAGUAUAGAUUUUUUCUGCAGAUUUUGUACAGAAAGAUAGCUGUCUUCCCGUAAUUGAUUAUUGUUAAAAACAAUUUUUUGCAACAGUAAAUCACAAGAAGACAACUAUGUCAUGUACCAAUUCUGUUAAAAAAAUUUAUACUCGUAGAUUAAUGCAAAAGUUAUCUUCAAACCUGAAUCCAAUGCCACCCAAAACAUGUCUACGCAGGUGUUAUCUAGGUAUGGUCGUGAUUAAUCUCACUAAUCUGCAGAGCAGAGCCCCUAAAACUAGAUUCAAAUGAUGUGAUAAAACAUUCCAGUGUUUUUAACCAGCUAGUAAUAGGAGCAUGGCAUACCAGUUACACUUCCUUCUAAUCACCACGCUUCCGAUUAUAUUAUGUGUUUUGAAUUCAAAAUGUAACCCCCAAUCAAACAAAUUCUAUGACCAUCUCCGAUUGUUCCUUUUCCUCUUUAUUUUAAAUUUUUUUGGAAUGCAAGAUAUUUUGUCUCACUUCGUCGCCAUUGGUCAAUCAAGAAACAAUUUGAUAGGUCGGUAGGUACGUAGGUAACAAGACAAGUAGAAAAGGAAUUGAUGGGUGGAGAUGCUUCCAUGAAGCACGAUUCGGAAAAAAAUAAGUUAAUUUCUCCUCCAAAAUAAUAUGCAGUAGAGGUCUAUCAGUUGAUCUCUAUGGAAUCUUCCGGAUUGGAUUCAAUAGGUACCCUAGUUCAUAUAUUCACAGUUCUGUCAUGAAUUCGUCCCUUCUUGUAAAUAAUCUAUUCUGGUAGGGAUGAAAAUGCACAUAGCAAACAAGCAUACUUUUGAAAGUCAAGAUAGACAAGUGGAUUAAAGCUUUUGAAUGAAAUCUAUUCUUUCUACUCUAUUGUUCUCUUGAUUUUGAAAGAAACCUUUAGCUUUUGUUUACUUUAGUAUAAAAAUCUUAUCCAAUCCAAGCGUUUUAACACUUGGAUAUUAUAAAAAGAUGCAUGCUAUUACCCAAAUCUAAAUUCUCCCAGGCUAAAACAACAAUCCCCGUAUUGGAGUCACUUGAAAAGCUAGAGAGUUACAUCAUAUACAAGUAGAUCUUCUUCUGUUCAUCUCUUAUCUCUGUACUUGUCUAUCAUUUCUCUCUCAACAGUUACAUACAAGCCAAGCAAUGCAUAAACGAUACACUCAUAAUUCACUUGGAAAGUGUAUUUAUUUCUAUUAGAAUACUUUAAGCCUUCUUGUGAUUUUGUAGAUGAUCUAAGAAUCGCUCCAUAUAACCAUCUUGUAUAUCUUUAUUCGACAACAAUUCUCUCAUCUCUUUAACCUUUUCCCUGUAAACUUUACCUCCUUCUUCCACCAUCACCAAUCUCAGAGAGUAAGCAACUGCGUCUUUAGUAAAUGAUCCGUCCAACUCAUUUCUCGCUAUCUCAUGUCCCAACUUCUUUUCCUCCAAUAGGCUGGAAAUCAUUCCUUGGUCCGCCAAGAAAGGCAACAAGAUUAUCCAUUUCCCGAAUUGCAAAGCCUCCACGACUGAGCUCAGCCCGGAGUGACACAAGAUUCCACCCACCGACUCGUGGCUCAGUACCUUGAGUUGAGGAACCCAACUUGUAAAAACCACCCCACGUCCUUUAGUUCUCUCCUCGAACCCUUCUGGUAAAUGAGUCACCCACACGCCAAACAUAUCCAACAUCUAUAUUAAGCCCCUGUUUGAAGGAUUAAAGUCUGAAUUUUAUCCUAAAUCAAAAUCAACAAUUUAUUUUAAUCACACGCUUUAUGAAAUUCACGACAUUUCAAUAACAUAUUUUAUUAAUUUUUAUCAAUCAAAAUUUACUAAAAAUCUGAUUUUAAUACGUUAUUUUUUAAUGUUUUAAAGCUAUAUUAAUUCAAAUAAUAAUGUUUAAUCUUUCCAAUCUUAUGUAUUUUUUUACGUCUCUCUUUAUGUUUGAUUGUUAAAAUCACAGGAAGAGAAAGAUAGCGAACUUACAAUAAAUAUAAGAGGCACAAUCAAGCUUCAAUUUGAUUUUUUCAAAACGAUAGAUACAACACUAUAGUAAAAUAACAGAUUUGGGUAAAACUUAAAUCAAUUUGAUUAAGUUGAACUUAAACUGAAAAUUAAAAAUAGUAAAAAUUAUAUUUUUGGUUUUGAGCUAAAUUAAUUAGUUAGUAAAUUUAUUUAGAAAAAAAAAAAUAAAUUGAUAUAUUUAAAACAAAUAAAUUCAAAAAAUUAGGAAGAUUCGGUUCUUAUUUGAUUUUUCGGUUCUUGAUCUAGAACCAAGAACCGAUCCAAAUCCAUAUAUUCUCAAUUUAAAUACACGUUUUGGUAUUUACCUUAAGAAGAACUGUUCGGUUCGGGUCGAGAGUUUUGUCCAACCCUAAUUCACAAAUAACAUUCAUGACAAUUGACAGUAAGGUAAAAGUUAUGAACAAUGCUAUAAAUAUAAAUUUUUUCUAUAGAUUUUGUAAAGCAAGACAGCUGUCUUCUUGUAAUUGACUAUUCUUAAAAACCUUAUCUAGGUAUGGUCGUAAUUAAUCUCACUAAUCUGCAGAGUAGAGCCCCUGAGACUAGAUUCAAAUGAUGUGAUAUAACAUUCCCGUGUUUUUAACCAGCUAGUAAUAGGAGCACGGCAUACCAGUUGCACUUCCUUCUAAUCACCAUGCUUCUGAUUAUAUUAUGUGUUUUGAGUUCAUAACCCCAAUCAGAGAAAUUCUAUGACCAUCUCCGAUUGUUUCUUUUCCUCUUUAUUUUAUUUUAUUGGAAUACAAGAUAUUUUGUCUCACUUCGUCACCAUUGGUCAAUCAAGAAAGAAUUUGACAGGUCGGUAACUAUGUAGGUAACAAGACAAGUAGAAAAGGGUUGUGCAAUUAUUAAAAAAAAUCACCUAUGUUACACUUACCAUUUGAUUGCCUUCAUUAAAUAUAGUGAUACAGAAAAUAAACAAAUUUAUGCCAUGACCUAUGUUGAAGAUGAAGGUUCGGAAGAGGAUGGAGGCGAUGGUUUGGAGGGAGAUUUGGCAUGGUUAGGACGGAGAAAGAGAUGACAGAGUUUUUCUCUUUUUCUUUAUUGUUUUCUUUAUUUCUACUCUUUUGUUUUAAUUUAAAUAGAAUAUAACUGUCAUUUUAGCAUGAAAAAUAAAUUUUUAACAGUCAAAUGGAUAAUAUCCGCCAGGCAGGGAAACUUAAGUGCAACAUUUAGUUGAGGACUCCAGCUUAUAAGAACUUUUGAAAGACAAGAAAAAUUAAAGACUGUUUAAUAUCGUAACAUUUAGGGUUGUUCAUCCUAAAUAUCAGUAAAAUCUAUUGUUUCAAAUAUCGUAAUAUUGAAAAAUUUGUUUUGGCAAUAGAAACAAAUUUUAUCCGCAAUAUCAGUAAAAUCUAUCACUUUAAUUGACAAUUUUCAUAUAAAACAAAGCCAAACGAACACCAAAAAAUACAUUUAUUUCAACGAAUUCCACGUGUAAAAUUAUACCAAUCAAACACAAUAAUUUACAAUUCCCAGGAAAAUAAUUUAUAGACAAUUCAAUUCCCUUAAAUUCAUUUUCUUUCCACCCAAAUUCUAUUUUCGCAAUUAAACAGACCCUAAUAUUCUUUAAUUCAAUUCAACUUUGCAGUUUGAAGGAGCUUUAAUUUAUAACAACCUCUGAAGGCAAAGGACAAUCCUCAACAGAUAAGCUGCAACUUAAGAACAGACUGCUGAAUAUCGUAACAUCAGAAACACUUGAAAAUUGUUAGACGUAAAUUUCACAUCGUAAAAAAGAAACUAGAAGGUUGUCAAUCUGAUAGGGAUUGAUUAAUUGAAGAAAGCAUGAUAUUAGGGAUCUUCCAAACUUCGUUUUUAAAAUAAAUUAGAAGGAUAAUGUUCUCAAAAGUGAAGGAGUGUGUGAAGACGAAAAAAAUAAAACAGCACUUUAGACUUGAGACAAAAUAUAAUGAGGCUUUUUUAAUCAUUAGUGGGAUCACAAAUGAUGAUGAAGGAAAAAUAAAGUGAUCAUAUUGUCCAAAGAGCUAUUCCUUUAGGAAUUCAAGUUGGAUUAUUGGUAAGAAGGAACUGACGAGAAUGUAAUAAUCCAGAUUAAAGUAGGUUUGAACCAGACUGUCAAGUGCUUUAGGAAUUUUAUGCAGUGUAACAGUUAAAUGAUAAGUUCUAGAGAAUGGGAUUUUCGACCAACUAAACUUAUGGUGUUAAAUGUUGGGCCAUUAAUGAAACAACAAUAGUUGUCUUGCAAGCACUUGGAAAAACACGAUAUAUGAACUGUUCAUCACUUCUGAAAACUCUCUUUUGAAGAAUCCAAAGGUGCUAAAAUUUGACAACUUUCAUAUCUCACCUAAAUCCCUGCAUCCAGAGCCAUAUCCAACACUUGUACCGUUGUUUGUUUUGCUUGGAAACCUAACGUGAGUCUGAUAUUGGAAUUCUUGUCAACAAUGAUACUUGAAGACAAUUGUUUGGCUAUUUGAAUGAUCUUAUCUGAAAGUAUAUACUGCAGGAGUCGAAGAAGUGGAUUUUAGUUUAAUUAAUUUUUCUUGUCACUUUAUAUUAUAAAAAUCGACAGUGACAAUUACGGAGAGAGAUGGAAUUGUAAAAAAUUCUAAUCAUAUUAGAAGUACUUGACCUUUAACUGGACGUUAAAGGGACUAGCACAGACAUGGACAUGCAACACAGUUGACGCGUAAUUUUUCAAAAUGGUAGGACACAGACUUGUCAGGACUUGUUGAAUUAUAUUCUUUAAUUUAUUUCGCCCCUCUUUGAGCCCCAAUUUUGGCAACAAUGCUUUUUGGAAUAGUAUUUUGUUGCAAAAUGUGUUGUUAAAAAAUAAGGAAAAGUUUUAUGUUUGUGUGUAAAAUUAUUUUAUAAGAAAAUGUGUAGUUGAAAAUGAGUUCUAAAAAAAUGUGGGCCAAACAUGGGUUUCUAUAUUAUAUCUUCAUUUUUUUACUUCAUUUAUAUUUCAGAAAAGUCACAACUUUUUUAUCUUUGAUCUUAGCAAAUCAAGUUUUUUUGAAUUAAAGAAGUGGAUAUUUUUUAUACCGGUAUAACUUUGGGUUAAACUAUAUUUUACUACUACUGAAGAAAGAUAAUUGCAUAAUAAAUAAAAGUUUCCCUAAUUUUAAGGUUCAAAAUAUAUAAAAUGGAGCUUUCCAUGCCUUGAUGUGUUGAAGACAUAUACGUCUUGUAUUAGGCUAUAAAGAAUAUGAAAAUAUGUUAGCCUUGUGUUUUUGAGGUUUGUUUUGGAGGUUUUCGUCACACGUCCUAAACUUUAAAAAGCAUCUGAAAAAUGGGACAUGCCACGCUAGUAAAGUGUCCGUGCUUAGCAGAAAAUGGAUCUUAUUUUUAAAUUCUUACCUUUUUGUGUACAUAUCAUAGUUAAUUUUUAGCAACAAUGGAGGUAGCUAUAUAUGAUACAAUGAUCUACAUAUUCAAGAAAUUACGUAACUGAAACUUAUAGCUAAAUUUAGGAAUCUGUUUCUUGAAAAUUAAUGAAAAAUUUAUUAGCAUGCAAGAAAUUUUUCACUAAUUUCUUUAGAGUAGCUAUUUGUGUCACAACCUUGUCUCUAUAUACAACACACUUAUUCUUUUAUUGGUUCUCCUACUGGUAAGAACUAAGAAGUUGCACAAGAAACCUUGUCUCUUUAUACAACACACUUAUUCUUUUAUUGGUUCUCCUAUUGGUAAGAACUAAGAAGUUGCACAAGAAAAGAUUGCACUUGUAAAUAAACAAUUUUUAAUGUAUUGCAGAUGAAAGAUCUAAGUACUGCAAUGAUUUUGACUUGCGGAAGCCCCUAGAGAGGCACUUCCAUAAUGGACAACAGAUUGAUUGCAUUAGACUUGAAGAUUCCGCUGAUCUCACUACAUUCCAUGACCGUUGUUCGAGCUUCUUAUCUCAAACUCCUAGGUAGUUGUUUAAACAUUGUAGCCGAUAUGAACAACGCUCUUUGUACAAUUGGUGCUUUCUAUAGAAACAUUUAUGGGGGACUAAGGUUUUUGCUGUCAAUGAGAUUGAAUAAGAUUACGGAGAUCGUCGAAGAUUACGACUAUAUUACCAUUAUAAUUCUACCAUAUCUAUAUAUGGUACAAUUAUAAUGGUAAUAGAGCUUUUGAACUGUUAAUGUAAAGCUCGGUGGAGUGUGGAAACUUGUUGGACACAUUAUUUUCUUGGUUCUAGUUGCAGCAAUUAACAAGAGUAGCACAAUAUAAUGAAAGCUAGCAUAUGUUUGGUGCCCAUUAUUUAAAAAAUAAUAACAAGAAGAAGAAAAAUUGAAUUGUAUUUUUAGGAGAAUGUUUGAUUAAAAAGUAGAGAAAAGUUUGGAGGUUACGUGCAAACUAUUUAAUUUUGUGAAUGUGUCGCUAAAAAUGAUCUUAUAGGGAAAAGAUAUUUAAAACAAUGGGCACCAAAUUGGGGCUUAAUAUUAUGUCAUAGUGUUACAUUAAAGGAAAAAGAAAUGUGUUGGGAAUGUUUGGUAAGUGAUGCCCAAAUCUCCAAGGCGAUGAUGAAAAAUUGAGGCUCGUUUCAACCUCAUAGGCUAUAAGCCUAGGAUUGAAGAAUUGAAUCCACACCACAAUUGAAGUAGCCCAAUUAUGUCGGGUAUUUAGAGGUAAUCAAUCCAUUGGGCUAGGUGCUCAAUACCCAAUUUGGAGGUAAUUUGAAAAUCACAAGAAAGAUAGAUAAUUUAUAAUCUUUAUCUUUCUUUAACCAAUUUAUCUUGUCUUGUGCUCUAUCUUUUAGUUAACAUAAUCUUGUAGAUUUCUAUUCAUCCUAAACUAGCAAGAUUUUCGGGAAAUCCGUUCUCUAUAUGAGCCUAUAAAUUGGAGCUUUCACCCUUCAUUUUUCUCACCCUCAAAACAAGAGAAACUCUCCUCCUGCUUAGUGUAAAACAAAUCUUCCUUUGCCUUCUUUGUGAAAUUGUCUUUGUGAUUGAUAAUGGCCUUCAAAUUGGAGAUACUUUUAUGGUGUGAAUCAAGUUUCUGAGCCAAAUCAAAAAGGGUUCUUCAAUUUUUAGUUUUUUUGGUUUUAAGUUUCUUGAAGUUAAUCUUUCCAAAUCCUUCAUUAAUUGGAUCUUUUGGUUGAUUUAUAGGUGGGUUUGCUUCACAAAAUGCAUGAAACAAAACUUAGAAUUAUUAUUCCAUAUUGCUAUCUCUUUGAUGUGCUAUUUUUGAUGUUAAUGGUUCCUGCAAUUGUAAUUAAUUCUGUGUAUUUGAUAUGGUUAUGCUAACUAUUCAGUAUUGAUAUUUUAUAAUUUUAUUGGAAUAAUGAAUCCUUGAGAAAAGUAAAAAGAUGACUGGAACAGAGAUAAAUUUAAAUUUUUUGUCAACUUUUUCUUGGAUGAUUCUGCUAUUCUGAUUGGUUGAUUUUCAAAUUGGAAUUUUGGUUUUUAUAUGUUGUCAAAAAUGAUAGGAACAUUGCAUGUCCUGGUCGUAUUGCCAUUCAGUCACUAGGUGCGCCACAAUGCGACUUUUCUGACAAGGUUAGGACUCAUUUUCAUGGAGUAAUGUGAUCUUUUUUUUAUCGAAAGAUUUAAGUUUUUAUUAAAUAUUCCUAGACUGUUAGGAGGGUACUGGAUGGACGACUACAUGUUUUAAGUUUGGCUGUUAAAUUCUUUCACAAAUGACCUGUGUAUUAUUUUGGUUGGAAUGUGAUAUACUUUCUUUUGUCAGAUCUCUAACAAACACCAAGGAUCAAAACCUUCCACACCCCACACCGGAUUUACAGGGUGUACUUUCCCUGUAAACGGUCAUCAAAUGCAGUAGCCGUUAUCACUUUUCCGCCUUCCCUUGUUUCACCAUCCUUGGCUGACACCUUGGUUUCUGUCAAAGCAAUUCCAGGGGUGUGUUUGUAUAUGUGUUUUAUAAGCUUGUUAUUAAAUAUCACACCUUUUUGUGGGCUAAUUAUUUACAACCUAUGCUUGAAAUAGACGAGGACAAGGAACUGGCAAAGCUUCUUACUGGAUAUCAGGAUAUGGUUGGCCUCCUCAGUGUACACAAGGUGGCACGUAUGAGUAAUAAAUUAAAUACAAGGCAGAAUCAUGAUCCGAAGUGUUAUUACUGAUAUGGAAGAAGAGAAAUAUCAUGCUUAAGUAUGUCCUUUUAUCAGAUAGAUGAAAUACAAAACAGAAUGAUAAUAGGAUUUUUGGUUACAAAAUGAAGCCCUAUUGGACCCGUAUUAUACUUUCAUCUCCUUGAUUUUAUGGUGAAGAGAUUAUCUAUAGACUCAUUCACCUUGAAUAUCUUAAUAUUUACAAAGAACCUAUGAAUAAAAUUGUGUUUCUAACCUUCUACAUUUUACAUAAAAUAAGUGUGAUAAAUUAUAUGAAAGAAGAAAUUUGAAGAUGAAAUCCAGUCACGUCUGUGUAUUCUUUGAAGUAAUGUUAUUCAUUGAGUUGAGAAGAUCAUCAAUUUCUGUGAAACUAUAUCGACUCCUCAUUUUACUUUAAAAAUAUCACUUCUUAUUCUUUUAUAAGAGCGCUUUCAAGAAAUUCUCUCUUUAUAUAGAAUAUCUUUAAAUAGAAUUUAUAAAUUUCAUCAUUACUCUUUAUAUUGACUUCUCAAUAGCAUUAUUCAUUCUUUUAUAAGAGCAUUUUCAAGAGACUUGCUAUUUAUAUGGAACAUCUUUAAAUAUAUUUAUACGCUCCGACAUUGCUCUUUAAAUUGACAACUCAUUUUAAUUUUUUAAGGAAACGUUUAUUGAUUUCUCAUCUUAUUUCUUUAUAUGUUAAUGGUCAAUUAAUUUUUAACAAUGAUAAAAAUAAUUUAUGAAGUGAAAUAUCAAGUAUGUAGCUUAUUAAAUAAAUUUAUUAUAAAAUAAGAAUGGAGCAUCAGUUUGGUUCUUUGUAAAAAUUCAAAAAAAAAAAAAAGGUUAAAAUAUAAAGUUUCCUGAAACUUAUUUUUAAGCAUUGAUUUUAAAUUGGAGAGCAUUUCGUAUUUUAAAAAACGAUAGAAGUUAAACUAGAGGGAUUGGCUACAGUUUUCUCCCUUCUUUUCCUCGUUCAAUGUGCACCCUUUGUACAUGUUUGGGGAUUUUCAGACAUUGACUGGGAUUAAGCAAAGAAUAUAGUCUUGAUUAUCCAUGGGCAGUGUUUUGAUAAUUCACAACAUUCAAUAAGGGAUGGAGUAUGAUAGCGAUAGAUUUGAAGAAGAAAGAUACAAUUUGGUUUGAAGGGACGUGGUACAUAAUUAUGAGGGGACAAAAAGGAAAAACACUUGUGUAACACGCUAAGNNNNNNNNNNNNNNNNNNNNNNNNNNNNNNNNNNNNNNNNNNNNNNNNNNNNNNNNNNNNNNNNNNNNNNNNNNNNNNNNNNNNNNNNNNNNNNNNNNNNNNNNNNNNNNNNNNNNNNNNNNNNNNNNNNNNNNNNNNNNNNNNNNNNNNNNNNNNNNNNNNNNNNNNNNNNNNNNNNNNNNNNNNNNNNNNNNNNNNNNNNNNNNNNNNNNNNNNNNNNNNNNNNNNNNNNNNNNNNNNNNNNNNNNNNNNNNNNNNNNNNNNNNNNNNNNNNNNNNNNNNNNNNNNNNNNNNNNNNNNNNNNNNNNNNNNNNNNNNNNNNNNNNNNNNNNNNNNNNNNNNNNNNNNNNNNNNNNNNNNNNNNNNNNNNNNNNNNNNNNNNNNNNNNNNNNNNNNNNNNNNNNNNNNNNNNNNNNNNNNNNNNNNNNNNNNNNNNNNNNNNNNNNNNNNNNNNNNNNNNNNNNNNNNNNNNNNNNNNNNNNNNNNNNNNNNNNNNNNNNNNNNNNNNNNNNNNNNNNNNNNNNNNNNNNNNNNNNNNNNNNNNNNNNNNNNNNNNNNNNNNNNNNNNNNNNNNNUUAUCAAUCUCCCAGUUUGAGUCCCCUCAGAGCUAUUGAGGUGAGGAUCCGACUGUAAAUUUCAGGGUCCUGUGGAAUUAGUUGAGAUAUUUGUAAGUUGGUUCGGACACACACGGACAUAAAAGAAAAAAAGAUUUAUCAAUCUGUAGCCAUUUCUCUCUAUAGAAUCCCAAUUCACAAAUCAUCUCCUUACUCACUAAAAUUUCUAUCCUAAAUCAUUGAUUGACCAUGAAGCCACUGUAAUGCAGACGUCAAUAGCUUAUGAAAUUCAUUAUUUUAGAGAAGUUAUAGCUCGUUAGAUUUAUCAUAUUUUCCUUGAGCAAAUUUGAUCAUUUUGGCUCUUCUAGUCACAUGGUAAAUCGAUUGCAACUGUGUUUGCAUUCAAGAAACACAUAUCUAGGUACGCAUAAGCCCUUGAAGUUUCUGUAAUCAUUUUUUUGAAUUUUAUGACAAUUGCUUCUAAUUGUGAUCAGUAAGUGUAAUUCAUGAAUUUUGUGUGCAUUUUACCCCAUUUGUAACAUAUGUUUACAAUUUUGUGAUUAGACAGUAUGCAUUUAUUAUUUGUAAUUUGAGAAUUUUUAACAUUGUUGAUCUAAAAAUACUAUUCUAAACAUAUUUAAGCAAAAAAACUGUUUGUGACUAGUUUUUGCAAUGAAUGUAACUAUCCGUACCCAUGUUUGUGCUUCAAUCAUUAUGUUAAAUGUGAGUGAUUGUAACUUGAGAUGAAUCAUUUGUGAACUCUAUUUUACAUAUUGCAACCAGCUAUUAUGUGAAAUGAAAACAAUAUGUGACCAAUUUUAUAUGCAUUAAAUGUGACUCUAUGUGACCAAUGCUACAUUUUGCAACUUGUUCUACGCUAAUACUUACUGUUUGUAACCAUUUUUUGUUAACCGUAACCCUUUCUAACCAGGUCAGUGUUGAAUAUGACUUUUUUUGAGCAGGUUUAUUUUAGAUGUGAUUGUUUGUGACCUGUAAUUUAUUGAAUGUGACUUACCGUCAUCUGUCUAUGAGUAUAAUUUUUGUCAUUUUUUUUUUGUAAUCGGAAGACAUGACUAAUGAAAUUGUGCUUGCUCCUGAUCAAAAGAGAAGUUCAGAACGUCUUACUGAGGAGGAGGAGAAGAAGAAGAAGUUAGCUUGCGAGAGAUCACAAGUUGUAAAAUAUGAAAGAAACGGUGGAUAUGUUCAAAAUCGUACGACUUGUAACAACAUGGUACCAUUUUACCAAAAAGAGGAAAGAUUAAAGGCAAAGAAACAAUCAAAUCAAUUUAAAUAUCUCAGUAUAUUUUUAUUAAUAACAUCAAGAUAUUCUUUAUAGUUACAAGUUUUUUCAUUUUAUUCACGAAUUGUAUAUUAUUGAAUAGAUUGAAUUAAAAUAUUAUUCAACUAACAUUUACUAUUAAUGCAAAAUUUUUGAAUUCGGUAUGUGCAUAAAAAUUCAUGUGUUGUGAAUAGGUUUCCGUAUUUCGUAAAAUCUCAGCAAAUUGUAACCUAUUGAAUGUGUUACAUGUGAUGUAUAUGACAAUGUUUAGUAUACUAGUGACUAUUUGUGACUAGGACUUCUCUGUAACCAGGAGUGUGUAAGUCAUUAUUGGUUGUAACUCGGCCUGUAUUGAUUGUGAUUGUCUUUAAUCAUGUAUGUCUUAAUUGUGACUGUAUUUGACCAAAUCUGUUAUAACAUUGAAUGCAUGCGACCAGGUAUAUUGGAGCUAUUAUUGUUUGUGACCAGAUUUGUGUAAGCUGUUAUUUGUUGUGAUAAGAUGUAUCUUAACUUUGAUUGUGCGUAAUCAGGUUUUUCUUAAAUGUGACUGUCAUUGAAAAUGCAUUUCUUAAAUGUGAUUGCCUAUGACCUGAUGCGUCAUAAUUUUGACUAUAUGUGACCAGUGUUGUCUUGACUGUGGUUGUAUGUGAUGUUUGUGUUAAUAGUAUUUUGUGAUCUAGUAUGUGAACAAUGACCUUUUGUAAUCAAUUUUGUAUUAAUUGUGACUAUUCGAGAUAUUUUGUGUUAAUUAUGACUCUCUGUGGUCAAGUUUAUGUUAAUUGUGACUAUCUGUGAUCAUGUCUGUUUUCACUAUGAAUGUUUGUGACGUGUUGUUAUCUAACGGUGAUCUAUUGUUGCCUACCAAACUACACAGAGAAUUGAAGAGUAAAUAUUGUUAAGGUUGAAGAUUAAACAUUGUUGAAGAGUUUAUUAAUCAUAAAAUACGCCAGUUUUUUGGAUGCUAAUGCCAUAAAGUGUCUCUUAACACUAGGAUCCUCUUUUAGAUGCAAAAUACCUCAUGCUUAAACCAUUCAUUUCCAACAAAUGAAUAAUCCAGAAAUUUAUACCCUACUUUAAGAGGAAUAAAAUAGAGAGCCAAAACCAACACUUACCCUAAAUUGGCAAAAUCUAGUAUUUUCUAGUUUUCAUUCUUUUUUUUUUUACGCUAUUUGUAUAAUGACUGAGGGAAGCUUUUUAUGAAGUAGCACAAUAGCGGAAAAAAAAGAGCACUAUUAUUUGUGACUUCAAUUCGCACUCCAUAUCGAUGAAGGACUUUUCAUGUUUGUGUUUCUCUUCUUACUAUAUCGCAAUAUCACCGCCACAUUCCCUUACCUCAACUACCACCUCUAUACUGGAAUACAUCAUGCUUUGAAAUGAAAAAUUAUACCUGCUAUUUCAUGAAUUAACUAUAAGGUUUAUCAACACAAGCAGAACUAAGUUACUGCUUCUCCAGGUGUAGUCAAGCAUUUUGCACAAAUACCUUGCAUACACAAAUUUGUUCAAUUACAAACUAAGCAAAGAGUUAAUUCUCCAAAUAAUCACUGAACUUUGCCAAAAGUUUUCUCAGGUCACCGAACUUCAAAACUUCUCUAAAUAGUCACUAAACUUUGCCAAAAGUUUCCAGGAGGUCUCCGAAUUUCAAAACUUCCCCAAGUAGUCACUAAAUUUUACAAAAAGUUUCAAGGAGAUCACUAAAAUAGUGAUGCAUGGGGUCCCAAUUUGUAAAGUUGAGUGACCCCCUAAGAACUUUUUGCAAAGUUCAGUAACUAUUUAAGGAAGUUUUGAAAUUCGAUGACCUGUUGAAAAUUUUUGGUAAAGUUUAGGACUGUUUAGGAAAGUUUUGAAGUUCGAUGACCUCCUCGGAGCUUGACAAAGUUCAGUGACUAUUUGGGGAAUUAACUCCUAAGCAAAACACAAUAUCUGCCAUAUAAUAACAUAAUUUACAAACAAUAUUCCCCAAAGUUUGUAAUAAAUAUUAGGAUCAUACUACUAGUACAAACUUUUUUUGACAAACUCCCUUACUCACUACUCACAAUGGGAAUGGGGCCCACAAGCCAACAUUUUUUAAAUUCACUAGGGAUUUGUUAAUUUUGUGAGAGUGAGUACACCAUUUUGUCAACAAGAUUUUGUACAAAUAUCUUUAUUCUGAAUAUUGAGUUAAAUAGGAGGCGGACAAAGUUUUCAACCACACUAACCCGUAUAACGAAUUUGCAGUGCCACUACCACUAGCACCGCCACCAACAAUCCAACACACAAAUUCUAGGUUAACAUUGGAGCUGAACCCAUAGAGCGUGUGGAAUGAAUCAUCAUUUCAUCAAUGAUUUUCAAAAUCCCAAAACUCCCAAAUAUGUGCACCAUUAACCUAGAGUUACAAUUUCAAUUCACUUUCACUCACACCUACAAUUAACAUUUGUAUCGACAUAGAAGAAGUUGAGAAAGAAAGGAAGUGUAGAGAUUGAGAGAGAGAGAGAGAGAGAGAGGUGGAGGGAUCGUAGAAUGAAAAUUAAAGGGAUUGUAGAAUGAAAAAUAAGUAAACUGUUAUAAUGGUAUUGUUUGAAAUGAUUUGAUUUAGGACAAUUAUUUAAUAUAUUAAUCAUAAUCUAAAGUCUUAUUUAUCACCUGAUUGGUGAAAUUACACCACCUUAAUUUUGAAUUGUAUACUUUAUACGUAGAGUUUGGGCUAAUUUUUUCUAAGGGUCCGUUUCAUUGUAAGAAUAUAAUUUAGGUGGAAAGAAAACAAAUUCCAGGAAAUUGAAUUGUUUAGAGCUUGUUUUAUUGAGAAUUUCCAAUUAAAUGUGUUUGAUUGAUAUAAUUUUUCACCUGAAAAAUGUUAAAAUUUUGGAUCUUUUGAUGUUCGUUUCGCUUUGUUUUUCAUGAAUAUUAUCAAUUAAAUGGAUAUAUAUAUAUAUAUAUAUAUAUAUAUAUAUAUAUAUUUUUUUUUUUUUUUUNNNNNNNNNNNNNNNNNNNNNNNNNNNNNNNNNNNNNNNNNNNNNNNNNNNNNNNNNNNNNNNNNNNNNNNNNNNNNNNNNNNNNNNNNNNNNNNNNNNNNNNNNNNNNNNNNNNNNNNNNNNNNNNNNNNNNNNNNNNNNNNNNNNCUAGAAAACCCAUUUUCUCAACAAAAUCCAAGGAAUUGGAAUUCCUUUAAAAGCAAGAAAAUGAGGCCACGUGAGGGAGUAGUGAAAAAUGUAUUCCCUGGAAAAUUUUGGGAAUCAAACAACAAAAUUGGGUGGAAAAUGGAAAUUUUUUUCAUGGAAAAUGGCUCUAUCAAACAUACCCUAAAUUGAAUUGAAAGUACGUUCUUUUUUCUUUUCUUUUCUUUUCCUUUUUUUAAUGGGUCUCAAACAGACGCUAAGCAUUGGAGUGCCAUAGAUCGGGUUGUGAGACAAUAUAGCUCUUACAUUUGGUAACUUGAGAAGAGUCGAGCAUUUUUCUUCAAUUCUAAGAUCCAUGGUGAUUAGAAAAUUACUAAGGAAAGAAAAAUCCAAAUAAAAACAGCUAGGCUCGAGUGUUACGGUAGCCUAAAAUUUAUCGGCUUAACAAUGUCAUUUUGACUUCCCAAACCAUGAACAUGUAUAUUAUAUAUGCAACAUGUAUAUUAUAUAUACACCGAUAGCUAAAAAAUCAAACUACUGGUUAAUAUCCGACUUUGCUAAAACAUAGAGUCCAUUGGUAAUGGGAAAUGAGAAAUAAUACAGGACCCAAAAAACAAAUUUCCCAACAAUCUUCUCAUCUUGACAGCACCAUGCAUUAUACUAAUUAAGCCAAGUUUCAUGAAACUGUGAAGCUGGUGGUAUUACUUGUCCUUCAAUGAUGUGGCAAUGUCGAUCACAAACCGGUAUUUAACAUCAGAUUUCACAAGGCGAUCCAUUGCAGUGUUGAUGUAAUCAAUAGGGAUGAUCUCCACAUCUGGUAAUAUGUUGUGCUUUGCUGCAAAAUCAAUCAUCUCUAGGGUUUCUUUCAUUCCUCCUAUCCCACUGCCGGCUAUUAAUUUUCUACCUGGAGUCAUUGUGGAAGGUUAGCGAUAUUGUCAAGACCAGACCUGGCCUGACCAGAGAAACUGGGCAUCGCCCAAAUCAGUUUGGUUAUGGGGUAAAAGCAUUUAGAAUUAGAAACCUUGAAUAGAAGCACCAUACAGGUGGGGUUCACCCCGAGAUUUUGCUUUUAUUUUAGCACUGAUUCAACUCUUUGAACCUUGACCUUUUUCCGAGAUCAAUGCCAGAGCCAAUCUUUUAAACAUUUAUGUUUAGCCAUUAUUUUUUAGCAAAAGUGAAACCCCCUUCCUUUCCCUUCUUUAAAUAAUAAAAAAAUAUUUAUUUUAAUUUCUUAUGACUAUACUUUUCAAGCUUAUGCAAACAUGAUAUGAGAGAGCGGAGGAGCAAGAGAAUGAGAAAUAUUAAUGAAAUGCUUACCUGUAAUCAGUGGAAACGCUGGCAACUCAAUUGGCUUGUUCGGAACAACAACCAGUACCAUCUUUCCAUGAGGCUUCAACAAACUAAGCAGGGGUAAAAUGGGGUGAUCAGAAGAUACAGUAUCAACGAUCCCAUCCAAUGUCCUAGCUGUAGCCUGAACAUGGACAAAUAUAGAGAUUAAUGUGGUUUCUCAAGUCUCAGCAGAACAACUAAAUUAAACCAAGCAAAAUCCCAAUUCCUCACCUUCAUCUCCUCAGGAUCACGACUAACCAAAAACAAGUCGGCACCAAGUUUUUCAAUAGCUCCCUUCUUCUUAUUAAUAGAUGUACUGAUAACUGUAAUUUUAGUACCAAAAGCCAUAGCGAACUUCACAGCUACAUGGCCAAGCCCACCAAAACCACCAACACCAAUAUUCAUUCCCGGCUUGUCCAGUCCAAAGUACCUCUAGGGGCUGUAAGUUGUAAUCCCAGCACAUAAAAGAGGAGCACCAACGUCAAGGGGAAAGUUCUCAGGCCAACGAACAAUGAAGUGCUCAUCAGCAACCAUUAACCUCCACAUGUAAUGGUACCAUCAGUGUAAACAGCGCUAUAGGUAGGUAUCAUUUUAGAACAGUAAUUUUCAAGAUCAUUGCUGCAUUUAUCACACUGGCGACAUGAUCCAACCAUACAUCCAACUCCUACUUUGUCCCCAAACUUGACAUUCUUCACCUUGCUGCCAACCUCAGUUACUUCACCCACUAUGUCGUUCCUGCAAUAAACAGCCCAGUUCAACAUAUGCAUCAACUACUACUUUCGAAGAUAUAUAAUCUUUUAAUAACUUUAAGAUGAUUCACAGACUACCGCAACAGUUAGCAUUCAAUUUCUAUGAUUUAGUUUAUUAGAUAGUAUAUCCAUGGAAGCCAAAGAAUCAAUCCAUAGUAAGUCCAACUGGUGGUACAAAAAAGCAAAGACAGUUGCCACUUUUUAUUUUUAUUUUCAUAUAUGGAAUCAGAAAUGCUUGUAUUCAUCCAAAUAUGUCACAAGAAUCUGUUUAAAUAUUUCUAUAUUCUCUGCUUUCAAAUCCAGAUUACAACAAUCACUGAUCCUCACAAUACUAACACAGUAAUUGUGUGUGAGAUGUGUGCAUAUUGAACCACCCCAUCUAAAAAGUCCAAGGCAUUUAAGUACAGACAUUUACGGAGGCUCAUUUAGGUUACAAAUUCAAUUCUGUUUUUUCUUAACAAAACCAUUGAUGACUAAUAACAAACAUCUAAAAAAAAUUAAAUUCUCAUCAGGGAUGCACCUGUAAUGUAGAGAAUCUGCUAUGCGAGCACUGUUGACCUGGGAGCCACCAGGGCAAAUGCAGAACUUUGUCCUGUAAAAUCUCUUUUGAUACACUAGAUGUCCUAGAAAACUUCCAUGAGAAGUGAUUUGGCCUUUUGUCACAAUUGUGAAAUUUAGGAUGACAUGAGGUAAUUACUGGAUCAAGGUAAAGUCCAAAAAAGAAUUCCAUGUUUCUCAUCAUAAAUUCGCCCAUCGUUUGCCUCGUAAAAUAAGAAAAAUGCUUAUGAAAAUAACUUUUGGCAACGCGCAGACCAAUCAUGUGAAGGAUCUUAUAUCCUAUAUGCCCUCGUUUUUAUCAAGAAAACCCUGAAUUAACAUAGUAUAAGUCUGUAGAUUAAGCUGGCAACCAAGUUUCUCCAUGACAUUUAACAGCUCAGAGCAUCUAUCAACAAGACCCUUUUCAACAACAGGACAAUCAGAAGCUUCCAAGCAACUUCAUCAUAAUUGUAACCACAUUGGAUAAGCAUACAGAAUGCAGACUUAGCCAUCUCAUCAUUCCCUUCAUCAUACAAUCCACAAACAAGCAGCUUAUAGGAUUCUAUAUGUGGUAGAAGUCCAAGCUUGAGCAUGGUAUCAAGUAUCUUCAUUGCUUCCUCAUACAUUUUCAACUUAGAGCAACAAUUCACCAGUGCAUUAUACAUAUCUUCACUGGGCGACAUUCAACAUUGUUUCAUAUGAUCAACCAACUUCCAGGCUUCUUCAAAGCGUCCUUCUCGACAAAGUCCAGUGGUGAGUGCAUUGUAAGUGUUAACAUUUGGUGAGCAGCCAUUUCCAACCAUUUUCUUGAAGAGCAUAAGAGCUGUAUCAUAUUCCAUUAUUUUCCAGACAUCUGCUAUAUUAAUUGAGUUUUCUUCUGUUUUUGGAUCAAGUUCCGUUCUACAACCACUUCCGUUCGUUCGUUUCUCAUGUAAGAGGUGUUUGAUUAAAACAGAGUAGAUAUAAUGAGUUGGUUCACAUCUAGCAUCAACCAUACAUUUGGGCAUAUCAAAAGCACGAUCUAGUAAACCUGAACGUCCAUUUCCAUCAAUUAAUACUGUGUAAGCCUUGAAAUCUGGUUGCACCCCUUCUUCUUUCAUUUUAGCCAUCAAAUCCUCUGCUUCUUUCAACUUCCCUUGGUUGCAAUAUGCAACAAGAAAUGAAGUGUUUGUGCAAACAUCAGGUUUAUUUCCCAGGGAAACCAUCUGAUGAAACACCUUAUAAGCAUGAUCAAAGUCAUAUUCUUUUAACAUUUGCUCAAUGAGAAUAGUGUAAGUAACAACUGUAGGUUUCACACCUUCUUCCAGCAUUCUUUCCAGAAAUUCUGCUGCUUCAGGCAGUUUUUUCUCUUUGCACAGCCCACUAAUCGGCACAUUGUAAGUGUAUGAGUUCGGAUGGAAGCCCUCACCUGUCAUUCUUCCAAACAAAGUUAGGGAAAAAUCAAUCUUCCCAGCCUUGCAGAAUCCAUCAAUCAGAGUAGUGUAUAUAACUACAUUUGAAUUUAAACCAUUCUCCUUGAGAGAGUCGUAUACAUGAUAAGCCUUCUCAACCGUCCCUCUUUCACAUAAUGCAUCAAUGAGAGCACCAUAAGUUAACUGGUCAGGAACUACAUUUUGCUCUUCCAUCAACCUAAGCAGCCUAAAAGCGCUAUCUAUAUCACCCUCUUUACAUUGUCCACAUACUAAUAAGGAAAGUUACAAGAUUUGGAGACAUCUUCUGCUCUAGCAUCUUACUAAGAAGUGUCAUUGCCUUGUAAACUUGUUUUACCUCACAAUAUCCAGAUAUUAACUCAUUGUAGGUUCUCACAUCUGGAAGACAAGUAUUUGAUUCCAUCAUGGUAAAUAUAUCAAAAGCAGCACCAAUCAGACAAAUUCUAUGACCAUCUCAGAUUGUUCCUUUUCCUUUUUAUUUUACUUUUUUUUGGAACGCAAGAUAUUUUGUCUCACUUCAUCACCAUUGGUCAAUCAAGAAACAAUUUGAUAGGUCGGUAGGUGCGUAGGUAACAAGACAAGUAGAAAAGGAAUUGAUGGGUGGAGAUGCUUCCAUGAAGCACGAUUUGGAAGAAAAUAAGUUAAUUUCUCCUCCAAAGUAAUAUGCAGUAGAGGUCUAUCAGUUGAUCUCUAUAGAAUCUUCCGGAUUGGGCUCAAUAGGUACCCUAGUUCAUAUAUUCAAAUUUCUGUCAUGAAUUUGUCCCUUCCUGUAAAUAAUCUAUUCUGGUAUGGAUGAAAAUGCACAUAGCAAACAAGCAUACUUUUGAAAGUCGAGAUAGCCAAGUGGAUUAAAGCUUUUGAAUGAAAUCUAUUCUUUCUACUCUAUUGUUCUCUUGAUUUUGAAAGAAAUCUUUAGCUUUUGUUUAAUUUUAAGUCUAAAAACCUUAUCCAAUCUGUUUUAACACUUGGAUAUGAUAAAAAGAUGCAUGCAAUUACCCAAAUCUAAAUUCUCCCAGGCUAAAACAACAAUCCCCAUAUUGGAAUCACUUGAAAAGAUAGAGAGGUAUAUCUUAUACAAGUAAAUCUUCUUCUAUUCAUCUCUUAUCUCUUUAAUUGUCUAUCAUUUCUCUCUCAACAGAUACAUCAAGCAAUGCAUAAACGAUACACAAUUCAUAAUUCACUUGGAAAGUGUAUUUAUUUCUAUUAGAAUACUUUAAGCCUUCUUGUGAUUUUGUAGAUGAUCUAAGAAUCGCUCCAUAUAACCAUCUUGUAUAUCUUUAUUCGACAACAAUUCUCUCAUCUCUUUAACCUUUUCCCUGUAAACUUUACCUCCUCCUUCCACCAUCACCAAUCUCAGAGAGUAAGCAACUGCGUCUUUAGUAAAUGAUCCGUCCAGCUCAUUUCUCGCUAUCUCAUGUCCCAACUUCUUUUCCUCCAAUAGGCUGGAAAUCAAUCCUUGGUCCGCCAAGAAAGGCAACAAGAUUAUCCAUUUCCCGAAUUGCAAAGCCUCCACGACUGAGCUCAGCCCGGAGUGACACAAGAUUCCACCCACCGACUCGUGGCUCAGUACCUUGAGUUGAGGGACCCAACUUGUAAAAACCACCCCACGUCCUUUGGUUCUCUCCUCGAACCCUUCUGGUAAAUGAGUCGCCUCAUUAUCUGCUGCCCCUCGUUGCUUCCUCAGAACCCAGAAAAAUGGCAAUUCCGACUUCUCCAAGCCUAAUGCAAUUUCAGUAAGUUCAUCUUGAUUUGGUUUCGUUUCACUUCCAAAAGCUACAUAAACAACCGAUCCUUUUUCUUUCGCGUCAAGCCAUUCCUUAAUUUCAAUCCAGUUUUCAUUUUGCUCAUCAGAACCACUAUUAGUAGUUGUUGGGGGCAAAUGGCCGACUGGAAUAAUUGGUUUUUCGUAAAUAUUCUCUAGAAGAUUUAGCCACUCAGGCUCAAACUCAUAACAACUUCUCAUCACCACCACAUCACAGCCGUCAAUGGUGGCUACCAAUCGGUACAUGUCCGAAACAUUACCUCCGUCUAUCAUUGCCUCCUUAAACUGGCGAUUAAUUUGAAAAAAGCGCAUAGAAACAGAUGUUUCAAAGGGUACCCACUUGGGUUUCACAGUGAAAUCUUCGGGCUUCACCCGAUCAUCUUGAUUUUGCAAUGUAAGUGAUGUUGGGCCAGCAAAGCUCAAAAGAGUUGCAGUAAAUAUGCUGAAAAAAGCACAAGGAAUGUUGAGUUUAGCAGCUUCUGGGUAUAACCAGUAUUGAGCAAAAUCGGCAAUAAUCCAGUCAGGUGAGGAGUCUUCCAACAAAAAAGUGAUUCUUGGCUGAAGCUCGUCGAAGGCAAUUUUAAGGUAGCGGACCAUAUCGAAUGGUACAUCAAUGGUGGCUUCUGCAUCUUCAGGUAGAUUAUCAACUUUUGGCAAUUGAAUCUUGACAAAUUCUAUCAGAUGGGUUAUAUUCGGAGGCAGUUUGGGAAGGCGAUCUAUGUUUCUGGGAGUCGAAACAAAGGAGACACUGUGGCCUUUCUGGGCUAUGAGCUUGGCGAGCUCUAGGUAUGGAAUCAAGUGACCGAAGGCCAGCCAUGGGAACAUGAGAAUAUGCAAUUUACCCUGCUCAGCCAUGGACUACAGAUUUAGAGGUGCAGUGCACAAGAUUCUCGAUUAUACUUUGAAGGUUUGUGAUUGAGA
Molecule: long non-coding RNA, 23409 nt
Filed under: Olea europaea (common olive)
Lineage: Eukaryota; Viridiplantae; Streptophyta; Magnoliopsida; Lamiales; Oleaceae
Description: long non-coding RNA (OEUR_LNC007055)
Source: RNAcentral